Phodopus roborovskii (desert hamster) is the source of this 103-nucleotide small nuclear RNA. Lineage: Eukaryota; Metazoa; Chordata; Mammalia; Rodentia; Cricetidae. The record is from RefSeq and is a predicted model, not a curated record.
GUGCUUGCUUCAGUGCACAUAUACUAAAAUUGGAACGAUACAGAGACCAGCAUGGACCCUUAGAAAGGAUAACAUGAAAAUUCGUGAAGCGUUCCAUGUUUUU